AACUAAGACAGUCCAUGACUAAUCACAUUCAAUAAAAUAUCUCUGUUUAACUGACAUCAGUGUCUGAGUAUUUUGUGGGACAUUUCUUGGACCCUAACAAUACCAAUCUGGAUCCCAAAAUCCCUGAUGGAAAACAACUGUUCAUGACCUACUUCUCCCAGAGUUCCCCUAACAUUAGAGCCAAACUUAAAUGAAGAAGUCUUAGAGGUGGCCUUCAAGGUGUGUACCAUGGGAGAGACUAAAAAGCCUCAAACAAAAGAACCUGAUGUUGGCUAAGGUCUUUCAACUGACUAUAGCAACUGCACAGACUCUCUUGCCUCCCAAAGCUGGAGGACUUUGGGCCCAGUCACUGGGCCCAGGCCUGCCUGAGCCCUCUUAAAUCACUGUAGAGGAGUUUUAAUCCCAUAGCAUGGCUGCUCUGAUCACAUUCAAGACUUUGUAGGUCUAUGGGCUCUAGCUGGAAUGCAGACAUGCGGCACACCUUCCCUCUGGCUUGAAUACAGACAUGCCCUUAAUACACACCUUCAAUCCCAAACAAUGUUGUCUAAUUGAGGAACAGAUAAGGUGACAAAUCAGAGAAAGCAUUGACAAAAUAAGAUAUACUCAACUUUCACAAGAACAGCACAGGAGAGGCUACUUAAAAGAGCACAGGGUGUCAGUUUGUCAGUUAAGUUAGUCGUUGGAAUUCAGUUGGAAGGUUGAUGUCAUUAUGCAGAUGAAGGCAGGUGCAGGGUGGAACUAGGCCUGUCAUUGGAUGAGAAAAUUUUUAGAGAGGCUGAGGCGGCUAGAGCAAGGAAGGAGCCGAAAGAACAUGGAGGCAGAUGUUAAGAUUCCCCUCUGCACAUAUUACAGGCCACCUGACUAUGAAGAGAAAGAAGGGCAAAGCAAGACAAACAGAUUUAAAGGAAUUUACUUUGCAAUGACUGCUCUCAGUAAGGACUACCACUGUCUCUGGAAAAUGGUUAGAUGGAAAACGUGUGACCUUAAGUAAGUUCUGAGGGUCUGAGAAAGUGUCUGAAGAUAUGAAAGUUGGUGUUUUAAGGUAAGUAAAUUCAAGUUAUAAAGGUAUAAGAAAGCAAUCUAAGGUAAGAAAAAUGUUUCAGAUUUCUUACCUCUGCUAUUUUGAAGGUUUGAAGUUUAAUAUUGACCAAUGGAGUUCUGCUAAGCAGCCAGGGAGGCCACACAAGCAUUCACUACCAACACUCUGGUAGCCUUACCAUCACAGCACUCCCAGCCAUCCCUGAAUGGGACAAAUAGGAUCAGGCCAAAUGUCAAGAGCUUUACCAGGGAAAGAGAUGGCUACAUACUGCAAAGGGCUCUACCAUCUUAUCCACGAGUUCACUAAACAACCCAUUCAUCAGAUUCAUCAAUCAUCACAACUGGGUGACUAAAAGCUAAAGGAACUACUCUGAGAGCCAUGAUACAAAAUAUUUAAUAUAGGCCAACUAAAAGACUAGGUAAUUUCAAAUUGCCCUACCUGUCAGGCCAUGAACCCCUCUGGCACCAAUCGAAAUUUCAGAAACCAGAAUCAGAAGCCAACGACCAGGAGCCUAUUGAGACAUAGACUACACUGAGGUAAAACCAGGCAUAUAUGGAUACAAAUAUCUGCUAAUUUUUAUAAACAGAAUGGGUAGAAGCCUACCCUACAGAGGAGACUGCCAGAGUAGUAACACAGACACUGGGGAAGACAUCAUACCCAGGUAUGGUUUCUUACCCUGCUUGGGUCUGACAAUGACCAGCGUCCAUCUCCUAGGUUCUGGGGACCAGUUGGUGCCAGAGCCUGCCAGCCAAUCAACAGGAAAAACUACAACUGGGGGAGUGAGGAUUUGAAAGAAGAGUCAGAGAGAUUAGGAGUCAGGAGGGCUAACAGUAAGUACUGUGUGGUGAGUUUAUUCUCUCAGUGUCUUUUUAAAGGCAAAGAAGACAACGCACGACCAAUUCCAGGAAGUUAAACAAUGGCCACAUGCUUGCCUGGCAAGUUUAUGGUACACAGUAUCUCUGUUUGAUCAAGGCCAUUUCCUUCAGGCUUGGACAGUCCUUCAAGGACAUAUGCGUAAGUGGAGGAACUUGGCAGGAUAUAAUACAUGCCUGAACUAAAAACAAAGAUGUCAGCGGACUCAUUCAUGAUUAAUCACAAGCAAGAAGUCAGCCAAAGUUGACUCCAGAUGUGCUCCCCACAUAUUGGAAAUUACACUGUAUAUGUAGACCCCAGGGUUCUGGGUAGGUAGAGAGGAUGAAUAGGACCCUGAAGGAGGCCUUGACCAAAUUAACCCUUGAAACUGGCAGUGAUUAGGUGUCUCUCCUACCUUAUGCCUUGUAUAAGGCCAGGAAUACUCCUUAUACCUUCGGUCUUACCCCCUUUGAAAUCCUAGAUGGGAAACCCCCUCCCAUACUGCCAAACUCCAGUCUGACAUUCUAGUUGAAUAUGACCAACAUAAGUUCUUAAAAUGCUUGGAGGUUCUCCAUAGAGUCCAGAAGGAACUCUGGCCUGCUGUACAUGAGGUUCGAGUCUACUCCUCCCCGUAACCUCCAUUGCUUUGAACCAGGUGACAAAGUCUGGGUUAAGAGACCCAAUAAAGUCCUAGCAAGGCCAGAUCCCCAGCCUUUGCCCACAUCUAUUCCCAUUCCCACCUCAACACCAAGAGGCAACUUCACCAGCCUCCUGCUCCAACAAAACCCCACUUCACCACCUGCAUCAGAACCCCUGCAACUGUUGAAAGCUUCAUUGCAUGUACUUAACUCCACUCAGCCAGAUUUGACACAGGACUGUUGGUUAUGCUUAAAUAGUCAACUCCCCUUUUAUGAAGGACAGACCGAGCACAUUGGUUCUGGUGUGGGGCGCAUGGGUGGCGGCAUGGGUUUUGGCAUGGAGCAGAUAGCCACACCCAUUGACCAUGUGGGCCAAACCAUUGAGCACACGGGCUCUGGUGUAAAGCCCAUGGGUCAAAUGGUGCUCACAGGCAUGGGGGCCAUCCUGGAGCUCAUGGGCAUUCAGCGCAUGGGAGCCAACAGUCUUGAGUUCAUGGGAGCCAACGGUCUUGAGCACACAGGCCUGGAAUGAAUGGGAGACAACAGCCUGGAACACACGAGCCCUGCCAUGGGCCCAGCAUUGGGCACUGGUUCUGAGCGAAUGGACCUGGCCAUGGGUGAUGCCGGAGGUGUUAGUUUUGACUGACAUAUUGAGAUGGGCAGGCAACUUUGGAGGAAGCUUCGCAGGUUCCUUUGGCAGAGCUGGAGGUCACAUACCUGGAGUAGCCAAGAAGGCCUGCCAGAUAUUUGUGAGAAAUCUCCCAUUUGACUUUACAUGAAAGAUACUAAAGGACAAAUUCAAUGAAUGUAGCCAUGUGCUGUACACCGACAUCAAGAUGGAGAACGGAAAGUCCAAGAGGUGCGGUGUGGUUAAGUUUGAGUGUCCAGAGGUGGCUGAGAGAGCCUGCCAGAUGAAUGGCAUGAAGCCAUGUGGUCUAGAGAAUGAUGUUCGAAUUACUAGAAAGGCUUAAGUAUGCCUUUUUUAAACAUUAAUACCAGACCUCUGAAUUUGUAUUUUUUUCUUGUUAACCAGUUUAAUUUGUUGGCUAGAUGUACAAAGAUGUUUUAAAAAAUUAUGAGAUACCAUUUGUCGAUUCUUGAUCUUAGAGCAUAAGCCAUUGGUGUUUUGUGCCCCUGCCUGCAGGGGCUCCGUAAUUUACAGGAACUGAGGGAGAUCCAAACCUGUGAAGGAAUGAGCGAGAAAGAGGAACAAGACCAAGCAGUGUCCUUGUCAAGUUGUGGCAUCUUGUUGACAUCGAAUAUGACUUUGAUAAUAAAUACUGGUUCCUGAAAAAAAAAUUAAAUUCUUGUCUUUUCUGUAAAAUGCAAUAAAACAAACCUUGUACUUACCCCUCCCCAAUGACUGAACUCAGAGGCUCCAAAACUAGUUUUAGUGAAAGUUCUAAUCAGUCGUAUAUGCCAACUAUUCUUCAUAAUCAGGAAUGUCUGCCCAGCCAGAUAAAACUGCUGUGGAGUUCCUAUCAGAGAAGAACACUAAAACAUAGGCUAUGAGACUAUUAAAAGUCUUUAUUCCAGCCAGCUGAUGACUACAACUGGGUAUUCGUGACCCACAUGUAAUGCUGAGCCUUUCUCAGAGUCCAUAUUUAAAACCACAUCCUGGCUGGAAAGUCCCCAGUUAGAAUGAACACACACACACACACACACACACACACACACACACACAGAGUAGAAUUCUGGUAGAGUCAUAUCUUGAGUAAACAUUAAGGUGAGAUAGUUGUUUUUCAUGGUUAUCUAGAGUAAAUAUUAAAAUGAAUAGUUGUGGGCUGGAGAGAUGGUUCAGCAGUUAAGAACACUGACUGCGCUCUUCCAGAGGUCCUGAGUUCAAUUCCCAGCAAACACAUGGUGGCUCACAACCAUCUGUAAUGGAAUCUGGUGGCCUCUUCUGGUGUGUCUGAAGACAACUACAGUGUACUUAUACAUAAAAUAAAUAAAUAAAAUGAAUAAUUGUUUUUUAGAAGUACUUAGAGUUUCAACAAAUCAUUGUGGUAAACAGUGAUUGUUUUCUGUGAUUUAUGUAGGGCCCUGCUUAACAUUACAAACCCCAUUUUACUUUUAGACUCUAUUUCAUGUUUAACUUGCCCUUUGAUUGAACUCAGUUACUGGAAAAACCCCAACGUGUUACAGGAACUGAUAUAUUCCUAGCAACAGCUACUCUACCCUUAGUAACAACCAAUUAGCUCUUAGGAGGACUAAUGUUCUAGAUAUGUUGUGAGAUAAAUUGCUUAAGCUAGCCACUAUUGUUCAUACCAAGUUGAAAUCAUUACUAGCCAAUGGAAAUGUACCAAGCUACAAUUUCCAAAUGUCAACAAUGGUGUAACUGCCAAAGUAGAAAGCCCCUUACCCUGCUGUAACUGUGAUAAAAAGGCAAGGCUUUACCAGCUUAGGGUAUUCCGCACCCAUCUAUUGCUUUGGAGAGGUUAGAGGGUCUGAGCUUGAAUAACAACUCUUUGCUUUUACAUACAAGGGGGAUUCUUGGGGGUCUCUGGUGGUCUGUGGAAACCUCGAAAUAUGGGCAUAACAGUUUAUAGAGUUGUAAAUUUCAGCAAACUUUACAAGCUUGGCAUGAUUUUAGUCACAAAACAGUCCUGACACAUCUAGAGCAUCUUGCAUUAUUGGGUACUUCAACUGGUACACAAUAAGGACUAUUGUCCCAGAGGUGUAAUAUUUUCCUUCACAAAACAUAUAGAGUAGACCAGGGGCUUUGGUAUGUGGAACUUGUUUUGAAAAGUUCUCAGGGAGAACUUUCCCUCAGGAAGGAGACCCUCAAGCCCAUCGACCAGACCGAGACCAAUGGAUGCAAUCAGCAAGAGGGUUUAUUAUCAGGAUACACAGGCACCUGUGGGCGCUUCGGUCAACUCAGGGGACUGGCGCGCCCCGCGGAACCAGGGACGGGUUUUUUAUAGGGUUCUGGGGAGCAGAAGCAAGCAUACAGAAGCAGAUGCAUGGUUACAGGGACAUAAUUGGUGGAUUCUAAUGAGGUGAGGGUUCAGCCCGGGGGCAAGUUCCCUGGCCGCCUUCCUGGAACAUAACGGCUGACUUGGCCCUCCUCUAGGGUGUGGGACCUCUCCCGGGGCUUUCCAUUUCCCCCUUUUGCUGCCAGGCGCUCAACCACAAACAUCCUGUUUGGCAGCCGCCGUGUUCUCAGUGUUCUGACCCUUCCCUGAACCAGUCAUCUAAGUACAGUCUUGCAAAAUGGCGUUACUGCUGCUAAGCCGGGGUCUCUCAGUUUUACUCAAAAAACCAACUUCUGUGUAAGAAUAAGUAUGUCUUUUUACAACUAUUCAAGAGUCAGUCCACAGAGGUUGGAUCCCUCUGCUGCCAAUAGGCAUUAAUAUGUCCAUGAGUGGCCCUAUUUCUUUGAUCAUUGUGGUGAUUUGAAUAGGUAUGGCCCCCAUAUGUUUGAUUCAUAUAUUUGUAGUAUGGACUCAUAUGUUUGAAUGCUUGGCUCAUAGACAGUAGCCCUCUUAGAAGGUGUGGCCUUGUUGGAAGAAGUAUGUCACUCUGGGUGGGGGUGAGGUGGGCUUGAGGUCUCCUAUGCUCAAUCUCUACCCAGUGUAGAAUACAAUCCUCUUCUGCUGCCUUUGGAUCAAGAUGUAGAACUCUUGGCUUCUCCAGCAUAGUGUCCGCCUGUAUGGUACCAUUUACAUCCACCAUGAUGAUAAUGAAAUAAAUCUCUAAAUUUUAAAUUUUUUUUAUUUUUUUUAAGAUUUAUUUUAUUUAUUCCAUGUAUGUAAGUACACUGUUGCUGUCUUCAGACACACCAGAAGAGGGCAUCAGAUCCCAUUAUGGAUGGUUGUGAGCCACCAUGCGGUUGCUGGGAUUUGAACUCAGGACCUCUGGAAGAGCAGUCAGUGCUCUUAACCACUGAGCCAUCGCUCCAGCCCAAUCUCUAAAUUUUAAGCUGGAUGCAAUUAAAUGGUUGUUUGUUUGUUUUUAAUAGGAGUUGCCAGGAUCGUGGUGUCUUUUCCCAGCAAUGGAAACCCUAACUAAGCUGGUCUGGAAUGGCUGCAGAAGAAACAGUAUGACAUGGUUCUCACCCUUGGAGCAGAGCCAUCAGGAUGUGGAUCUCCUAAAAUGCUGAUGGUUGCUGUAGGGGUAAAGCUUCUUUGUACAAUAGUGUGUGGCAGAACCUUACCCUAGUGAAUAAAGGUUUCAGCAGACUAAUCACUGGGUGAGGAAUAGGCAGGACUUCUAGAUCAGAGAGGGAAAGAGAGGAGGCAGGAAAAGGUGACUUGUUUUUGGACAGGGAGAACUUGGAGGAAAAAUGUAGCCAACUAGAGGCCCCUUGUUAGAAGGCGGGUCUGCCAGGAUUUGCCACUGGAGCAUUUAACAUAAAAUAGCUUACAAAUUAGGAUGUUAGUUGUUGUGCCCAGUGAUUGUUACCUGUUGAUUCUAAGCUAAGAUUGUGUGGUGUUUUCCUUCAUGAGGCAAUUCAUCUGGGUUCCAGAGAGAAAGGAACGGUGGCAGCAGGUGCUGUCACGGCAGCAACCUGACAUGGGAACUUAGUAAUUCGAGUGAAGAGAUUUCAGAGACCAGGGUCAGAGAUUCCGCUGAUAUGAGAACAGGCCAAUCCUGCUGACCAGCCUGCUGGUGGUAGUGUGGUAGCUUUUUUAGUAUUUCCUACUACAAUAAUGCACAUAUUUUCCUUCAUGUUUUGGUGAAUUUUCUCCUUAUCUAGAUUAUCAGGGGAUGUAAUCCAUGAUAAUCAGAAAGAUUCUGGGAUGCAAGAAUGUGUCUGGUGAUCCUGAACAAUAUGAUGAUGCAGUGACCUUUAGGACAGUCCUUAAGACUGUGGGAAAGAACUCUGAAAACAUGAGUUCAAAAAUACACAAACAGUGUGUAGUGACUAUUCCUAGUUGUCAAUUUGACUAUAUCAGGAAUGAACUACAAUCCAGAAUUGGAAGGCUCAUCAUUGAUCCUGAUCUUGAGGCUGGGAGAUACAAGUUUCUGACCUAGAUCUUGGUAUGGAGAUCUUGAGGCAAAGUGGUUCUGAAUCCCAGAAGCUGAAGGCAAGGAGAUCUCUGAGUUCAAGGUCACCUGGGACAAAGCAAGUCCCAGCUCCAGGCAUGGUGGUACAUACCUUUAAUCUGGACCACACCUUCUGCUGGAGAUCUACAUAAGGACACCAGAAGAAGGAAGAGUCUCUUUUUUUUCCGCCUGCAUGCCUGCCUGCCUGCCUGCCUUCUGAGACUGAGCCACUGCUAGAUCCUUGGACUUCCAUUCACAGUUGCUGCUGAUCAUUUUUGAGGAGUUAGACUACAGACUGUAAGCCAUCAAGCAAUUCUCUUACUAUAUAGAGACCACCCAUAAGUUCUGUGACUGUAGAGAACCCUGACUAAGACACAGUGUAAGAGCUGUUCUUUACAGGAUUUCUCAGCUACGUAAGAUAUAAGGAUACAAUAUGAAUUGUUUGAGGGGCUUCACAGACUUGAAAGAACAGAGGGAUCUUCACUGAGUCAGGUAAGUAAGAAAGAUAUUAAGGAAGGAGACAUGAUUUGGUCUUAGUGGUAAAGUGGUGGUGGUCUCCAUGGAAGCCAUCAGACAGAAAAAAAAGUCUGGUAUCAAAAAAAAAAAAGAGAGAGAGAGAGAGAGAGAGAGAGAAAGAAAAGAAAAAAAGAAAAGAAGAAAAAAAAGAAAGAAAAAGAAAAAAAUGAGAUUGCAUAAUACUUUUUUAAUUAUUUAUGUAUAUGAGUACACUGUAGCUAUCUUCAGACAUACCAGAAGAGGGCAUCAGAUUCCAUUAUAGACUGUUGUGAGCCACCAUGUGGUUGCUGAGAAUUGAACUCAGGAUCUCUGGAAGAGCAGUCAGUGCUCUUAACCACUGAGCCAUCUCUCUAGCCCCCUGCUGAAUACUUUUGAAUAAUAAGCCUUGGAGCUGAGAUAAAAAAGAAAAAAAAUCCAAAGAUUAAAAGAAUAUAUUGACCUGGGUUUGGUCCCCAGCUCCGGAAAAAAAAAAAAUAUUGAGGUAGCUAAGAAUUAUAAAAAUGUGUUUCAAUGCUGCUUAUAUUGGCACAAACAAGAGCUGGCUAAAUAAAUAAAUAAAUAAAUAAAUAAAUAAAUUAUACUUCAAGCUAAUUUUCUCACAUAAAAAUAGCCUCUAUAUCUAGACUUGACAACCACAAACUGUGUGCCCAGAAAACCACAUAGGACUUGCUAUAUUUAAAAAAAAAAAAUGUGUCUGUUCUCUGGUUCAUUUGCUUUGAAUGUGUUCUUUAUUUCAGUUUCUAUUUCUUAGCAUCAAGGGGCUAUGGUCAUAAAACGGUGAUCCAUAAAUGAUCAAAAGGGGACCUAGGGUAAAUAAUUAAACUGAUAUGCAAUUUCUAAGGAAGUAGCUUAUACAAGUAAAAGACAGGGCUUUGGUCUGUAAGAGAGUGCUAUCUAGAACAGAUCACAGAGCUGCCAGAUUGCAUCCAUCACUGACACUGAGUCAUUUCUCUACUGCUCCCAUUCACCCCUUCUUCAGCUUCUCUCAAGCUGAAAGUGGAAGUCAUCAUCCUGUAUGACUCCCGAACCCUGAUAUAAAUAUAUAGAAAGGAGAUUUAUUAAAAUGACUUACAGGCUGAGAUCCAACAACUAUAGCAAUAGUUGGCUAUGAACCGAAAAUUCAAGAAUCCAAUAUGGUGGCACUCAAGCUGCAGGAGCCCUUCCGUCUAGACUGCACCCGAAUCUGAAGGGACCCAGUCAAACAGCUCCCUACACCCAAAUCCCAUGGGAGGGAGAGCUAGACAUUCAGAGGGGCAGACACACCUGGGAAGCCAGAGGAGACUACUCUCUGCCCACAUUUCUGACUCUAGAGGAAAACACCUACUGCCAUCUGGGCACCCUGUGCACAGGGACCCAGGAGAAGGCGGGAUAUGCCCUUCUGGUUACUGCCCUCAAGGAAGGCUGGAACUCAGCCCUGAGGAGUGACUUCAGGUCCAAGACCAGAGGUAAGACCAACUUUUCUUCUCUAAGUGAUGUGCCUGGUAGACUCAGGUCACAUGCCCACAGGAACAGCUGAAAACCAGUAGACAGGAACGACUAAACAAUUGAAAGCAGAACACUCUGUUCCCAUAACUGGCUGAAAGAAAAACAGGAAAACAGGUCUACAGCACUCCUGACACAAAGGCCUAUAGGACGGUCUAACCACUGUCAGAAAUAGCAGAACAAGGUAACACCAGAGACAACCUGAUGGCGAGAGGCAAGCACAGGAACCAAGGAAAAGAAACCAAGACUACAUGGCAUCAUCAAAGCCCAAUUCUCCCACCAAAGCUAACACGGAAUACCCAAACACACCAGAAAAGCAAGAUCUAGAUUUAAAGUCACAUUUGAUCAUGAUGAUGGAGGACUUCAAGAAAGACAUAAAGAAUUUUCUUAGAGAAAUGCAGGAAGACACAAAUAAGUAGAAGCCUAUAGAAAGGAAACACAAAAAUCCCUGAAAGAAUUACAGGAAAACACAAGCAGGUGAAGAAAUUAAAAACAGAAAUAGAAGCAAUAAAGAAAGCCCAAAGGGAGACAAUCCUAGAUAUAGAAAACCAAAGGAAGAGACAAGGAGCCAUAGAUACAAGCAUCACCAACAGAAUACAAGAGAAGAGAGAUUCUCAGGAGCAGAAGAUUCCAUAGAGAUUAUCAAUAAACUUUCAAAGAUAAUGUAAAACGGAAAAAGCUACUGGCCCAAAACAUACAGGAAAUCCAGGACACAAUGAAAAGAUCAAACCUAAGGAUAAUAGGUAGAGAAGAGAGUGAAGACUCCCAACUCAAAGGACCAGUAAAUAUCUUCAACAAAUCCAUAGAAGAAAACUUCUCUAACCUAAAGAAAGACAUGCCCAUAAAUAUACAAGAAGCCUGCAGAACUCCAAAUAGAUUGGAACAGAAAAGAAACUCCUCCCAUCACAUAGUAGUCAAAGCAACAAAUGUACAAAACAAAGAAAAAAUGUUAAAAGCAUUAAGGGAAAAAGGUCAAUUAACAUAUAAAGGCAGACCUAUCAGAAUUACACCAGGCUUCUCACCAGAGACUAUGAAAGUCAGAAGAUUCUGGGCAGAUGUCAUACAGACCCUAAGAGAACAAAUGCCAGCCCAGGUUACUGUAUCCAGCAAAACUCUCAAUUAACAUAGAUGGAGAAAACCAAGAUAUUCCAUGACAAAACCAAAUUUACACAAUAUCAUUCUACAAAUCCACUGCUACAAAGGAUAAUAAAUGGCAAACCCCAACAUAAGGAGGCAAGCUACACCCUAGAAAAAGCAAGAAACUAGUUGUUUUGCAACAAAACAAAGAGAAGCACACAAACAUAAUCUCACAUCCAAAUACAAAGAUAACAAGAAGCAACAAUCACUAUUCCUCAAUAUCUCUCAACAUCAAUGGACUCAAUUCCCCAAUAAUAAGACACAGAUUAACAAACUGGAUACACAAUGAAGACCCAGCAUUUUGCUGCCUACAGGAAACACACCUCAGAGACAAAGACAGACACUACCUCAGAGUAAAAGGCUGCAAAACAAAUUUCCAAGCAAAUGGUCUGAAGAAGCAAGCUGGAGUAGCCAUUCUAAUAUCGAAUAAAAUCAAUUUUCAACCAAAAGUCAUUAAAAAAGAAAAGGAAGGACACUUCAUAUUCAUCAAAGGAAAAAUCCACCAAGAAUCCUAAAUAUCUAUGCUCCAAAUACAAGGACACCUACAUACAUAAAAGAAACCUUACUAAAGCUCAAAGCACACUUUGCUCCUCACACAAUAAUAGGAGAUUUCCACACCCCACUCUCAUCAGUGGACAGAUCAUGGAAACAGAAAUUAAACAGAGACAUAGACUAAGAGAACUCAUGAACCAAAUGGACUUAACAGAUAUUUAUAGAACAUUCUAUCCUAAAACAAAAUGAUAUACCUUCUUCUCACCACCUCCUGGUACUUUCUCCAAAAUUUACCAUAUAAUCGGUCAUAAAACAGGCCUCAACAGAUACAGAAAUAUACAAAUAAUCCCAUGCGGUUUAGACCACCAUGGGCUAAAGCUGGUCUUCAAUAACAAUAAAGAAAGAAUGCCCACAUAUACAUGGACGUUGAACAAUGCUCUACUCAAUGAUAACCUGGUUGAAGAAGAAAUAAAGAAAGAAAUUACAGACUUUGUAGAAUUUAAUGAAAGGGAAGGUACAACAUACCUAAACUUAUGGGACACAAUGAAAGCUGUGCUAAGAGGAAAAAUCAUAGCUCUGAGUGCCUGCAAAAAGAAACAGAGAGCAUAUAUGAGCAGCUUGAUAGCGCACCUUAAAGCUUAGAAGCGAAUACACCCAGGAGGAGUAGAAGGCAGGAAAUAAUCAAACUCAAAGCUGAAAUCAACCAAGUAGAAACAAAAAGGACUAUACAAAGAAUCAACAGAACCAAAAGCUAGUUCUUUGAGAAAAUCAACAAGAUAGAUAAACCCUUAGCCAGACUAACCAGAGGACACAGAGAGUGUGUCUGAAUUAACAAAAUCAGAAACGAAAAGGGAGACAUAACAACAGAAUCAGAGGAAAUUCAAAAAAUCAUCAGAUCCUACUACAAAAGCCUAUAUUCAACAAAACUUGAAAAUCUGGAGGAAAUGGACAAUUUCCUAGACAGAUACCAGGUACCAAAGUUAAAUCAGGAACAGAUAAACCAUUUAAACAACCCCAUAACUCCUAACGAAAUAAAAGCAGUCAUUAAAAGUCUCCCAACCAAAAAGAGCCCAGGUCCAGAUGGGUUCAGUGCAGAAUUCUAUCAGACCUUUAUAGAAGACCUCAUACCAAUAUUAUCCAAACUAUUCCACAAAAUUGAAACAGACAGAGCACUACUGAAUUCCUUCUAUGAAGCCGCAAUUACUCUUAUACCUAAACCACACAAAUACCCAACAAAGAAAAAGUUCUUCAGACUAAUUUCCCUUAUGAAUAGUGAUGCAAAAAUACUCAAUAAAAUUCUUGCAAACUGAAUCCUUGAGUACAUCAAAACAGUCAUUCAUCAGGAUCAAGAGGGCUUCAUCCCAGGUAUGUAGGAUGGUUUAAUAUACAGAAAACCAACAACGUAAUCCACUGUAUAAACAAACUGAAAGAUUAAAACCACAUGAUCAUUUCAGUAGAUGCUAAGAAAGCAUUUGACAAAAUUCAACACCCCUUCAUGAUAAAAGUCCUGGAAAGAACAGGAAUUCAACGCCCAUACCUAAACAUAGUAAAAUACCAUAUACAGCAAACCAGUAGCUAAUAUUAAACUAAAUGGAGAGAAACUUGAAGCAAUUCCACUAAAAUCAGGAACUAGACAAGGCUGCCCACUCUCUCCCUACUUAUUCAAUAUAGUUCUCAAAGGCCUAGCCAGAGCAAUCAGACAACAAAAGGAGAUUAAAUGGAUACAGAUUGGAAAGGAAGAAGUCAAAAUAUCACUAUUUGCAGAUAUGAUAGUAUAUUUAAGUGAUCCCAAAACUUCCACCAGAGAACUACUAAACCUGAUAAACCUCUUCAGCAAAGUGGCUGGGUAUAAAAUUAACUCAAAUAAAUCAGUAGCCUUCCUCUACACAAAAGAGAAACAAAUGGAGAAAGAAAUUAGGGAAAUGACACCCUUCACAAUACUCCCAAAUAAUAUAAAAUACCUUGGUGUGACUUUGACCAAGCAAGUAAAAGAUCUGUAUGAUAAGAACUUCAAGCCUCUGAAUAAAGAAACUGAAAAAGAUCUCAGAUGAUGGAAAGACCUCCCAUGCUCAUGGAUUGGCAGGAUUAACAUAGUAAAAAUGGCCAUUUUUCUGAAAGUGAUCUACAGAUUCAAUGCAAUCCUCAUAAAAUUUCCAAUUCAAUUCUUCAUAGAGGUAGACAGAACAAUUUGCAAAUUCAUCUGGAAUAACAAAAAGCCCAGGAUACCUAAAACUAUCCUCAACAAUAAAAGGACUUCUCGGGGAAUCACUAUCCCUGAACUCAAGUAGUAUUACAGAGCAAUAGUGAUAAAAGCUUUAUGAUAUUGGUCUAGAGACAGACAGAUAGACCAGUGGAAUAGAAUUGAAGACCUAGAAAUGAAUCCACACACCUAUGGUCACUUGAUUUUUUUUUUAAAGAUUUAUUCAUUUAUUAUAUAUAAGUACACUGUAGUCUUCAGACACACCAGAAGAGGGCAUUGGAUCUCUUUACAGAUGGUUGUGAGCCACCAUGUGGUUGCUGGGAAUUGAACUCAGGACCUCUGGAAGAGCAGUCCGGUGCUCUUAAUGGCUGAGCCAUCUCUCCAGCCCGGACACUUGAUUUUUGACAAAGGAGCCAAGACCAUCCAAUGAAAAAAAGAUAGCAUUUUCAGCAAAUGGUGCUGGUUCAACUGGAGGUCAACAUGUAGAAGAAUGCAGAUCGAUCCAUUCUUAUCACCCUGUACAAAGUUUAAGGCCAAGUGGAUCAAGGACCUCCACAUCAAACCAGAUACACUCAAACUAAUAGAAGAAAAAGUGGGGAAGCAUCUGGAACACAUGGGCACUGGAGAAAAUUUCCUGAACAAAACACCAAUGGCUUAUGCUCUAAGAUCAAGAAUCAACAAAUGGGAUCUCAUAAAACUGCAAAGCUUCUGUAAGGCAAAGGACACUGUUGUUAGGACAAAACACAACCAACAGAUUGGGAAAAGAUCUUUACCAAUUCUACAACUGAUAGAGGGCUUAUAUCCAAAAUAUAUAAAGAACUCAAGAAGUUAGACCGCAGGGAGACAACCCUAUUAAAAAAUGGGGUUCAAAGCUAAACAAAGAAUUCACAGCUGAGGAAUGCCAAAUGGCUGAGAAGCACCUUAAGAAAUGUUCAACAUCUUUAGUCAUAAGGGGAAUGCAAAUCCAAACAAACUUGAGAUUUCACCUCACACCAGUGAGAAUGGCUAAGUUCAAAAACUCAGGUGAUAGCAAAUGCUGGCAAGGAUGUGGAGAAAGAGGAACACUCCUCCAUUGUUGGUGGGAUUGCAGACUGGUACAACCAUUCUGGAAAUCAGUCUGGAGGUUCCUCAGAAAAUUGGACAUUGCACUACCCAAGGACUCCAACAAAGACACAUGCUCCACUAUGUGCAUAGCAGCCUUAUUUAUAGUAGCCAGAAGCCGGAAUGAACCCAGAUGCCCUUCAACAGAGGAAUGGAUACAGGAAAUGUUGUACAUCUACACAAUGGAAUACUACUCAGGUAUAAAAAACAAUGACUUUAUGAAAUUCAUAGGCAAAUGGGUGGAUCUGGAAAAUAUCAUUCUGAGUGAGGUAACCCAAUCACAGAAAAACACACAUGGUAUGCACUCAUUGAUAAGUGGAUAUUAGUUCAAAUGCUCGAAUUACCCAAGAUGCGCAGAAUACAUGAAACUCAAGAAACACGACCAAAGGGGGUUGGGGAUUUAGCUCACUGGUAGAGCGCUUGCCUAGGAAGCGCAAGGCCCUGGGUUCGGUCCCCAGCUCUGAAAAAAAAAAAAAAAACCAAAAAAAAAAAAAAAAAAAGAAAGAAAGAAAGAAACAUGACCAAAAUUCGAAUGCUUCACUCCUUCUUUAAAAGGGGAACAUGAAUACCCUUGGGAGGGAAUAAGUCACUACCCAAAGACUAUACAUGGACUGACCCUGGACUCUGACCUCAUAGGUAGCAAUGAAUAGCCUAGUAAGGGCACCAGUGGAAGGGGAAGCCCUUGGUCCUUCCAAGACUGAACCCCCAGUGAACGUGAUUGUUGUGGGGAGGGUGAUAAUGGGUGGAGGAUUGGGAGGGGAACACCCAUAUAGAAGGGGAGAGGGAGUAUUUGGGGGAUGUUGGCCUGGAAUCCGGGAAAGGGAAUAACAUUUGAAAUGUAAAUAAGAAAUACCCAAUUUAAUAAAGAUGGAAAAAAAAAAGAAUCCAAUAUGGUUUAGUCCAUGAAACGGGGUAGCUGAGGUGGUCUUCAGUAUAUGCUAGGAUCCUAAAGAAGUAUUUUCUAAUGCCAGUAAAGGAAUGGACUUUCUAGCAAAGUAAAAACAAGCAGGCAAAGAGCAAAAGUUUUCUUGUUCUAUGUCCUUAUAGUAGGCUUCUAGCAGAAGGUAUAGCCCAGGUUAGAUGGUAUACCCAGGCAAGCACAUCUGGAGUCAACUUUGGCUGUCUUCUUGCUUGUGAUUAAUCAUGAAUGAGUCUGCCAACAUCUGUCUUUGUUUUUAGUUGAGGCAGGAGUUAUAUCCUGCCAAGUUCCUCCACUUACACUUAUGUCCAUGACAGACUGUCCAAGGCUGAAGGAAAUGACCUAAGUCAAACAUAGAUACUGAGUACUAUAAACUCGCCAUGUAAGCAUUUGUGUUCAUUGUUUAACUUCUUGGAAUUAGUCGUGUUUUGUGUUGGCUUGCCUUUAAAAGGCACUGAGAAAAUGCAUUCACUGCUGGCGUGGUAUUUACCAGGAGCCCUUCUAUAUCUGAUUCUUGCAUCUUCUUUCUGCCAUUCUUAUAAUUAUCUUCACUCUCCCAGUUGUGGUUUUUGUGUUGACUGACCAGCAGGCUCCAUCAGUUAGAGGUAGGUUUUCCCAGCUUAAAUAAUCUGAAUUCAAGAUGUGACUUCCUACCUUAAUAUCGAGAUUAAAAGUGUGCCUUUCUCUAGCUAGGCUGAACCAGAUUAAAGGCUUGUCUUCCUACCUCAAAGAUCUAGAUAGGAAGGGGAUAUUCCCCUUUUAAAUGAAGUGAAAUCCUUCAUAGAUGUGCCCUCGAUUUUCGGACUUUGGUUAAUUCCACAUGUAGUCAAGUUGACAACCAAGAAUAGCUAUCACAGUUUCCUUCUCACAAUUACAAGUUAAGCAAAUAAUCACAAUAGCCAAAAAUAUGCAGAAAUAGUGAGCUCAAUAUAACUUUUUUUUUUUUUUGGUUCUUUUUUUUUCGGAGCUGGGGACCGAACCCAGGGCCUUGUGCUUCCUAGGCAAGCGCUCUACCACUGAGCUAAAUCCCCAACCCCUCAAUAUAACUUUUACAAAGAAUCCAUAUCCACUGGUUUUUCUUCCUGAAAAAUUUUUUUAAGUUCUCCAUUUUAGUUACUGAGACUUUACUGGGCAAGACAAACUUGAUCUUAGGUACAAAAAUGGAAUUACCAUAGUCAAUUACAGCCCUUGUCACAUUCCCCACUGCUGCUAUGGGCAUACAAAUCAUGGGCUCAUCCUGGGAAAGAAGUUUAUAUUGUCUCCCUGUUUCAUAAAAAGGUCUAUCCCUUUAAGUUUUGUAAGACUAUCUUUGAGAGAGAGUUGACUUGACUCUCUAACUUGGAAAUACAAUUCUCCAAAUGUCCUAGAUCGAAAUCUAUCUUGAAACUGAGUCUCCUAAAAUUUUAGUUCCCAAUAGUCAAGGCUGAGGUGCCUAGGGUGAUUGUACUGAUUAUUCUUGUCAUUACUAGGAUCAGGACCAGAAAUGGGCUUUUUUAACCAUAAUUAACAUUGAAUCAAGGCCCAUAUGAGCUCUUCUCUCUUCUCCAUUCAUUAUAGACAUUAUAUGUCUGUCUAUAUGUCUAAAAUGGGUAAAAUAAUGUCUAUAAUAGAAGGUAGCAUUUUUUGGGGAUAGCAGGCCAGUAUAUAUAGAGAAUGGGAGGUAUGAUUUUCCAAUGAAUCAGAGGAAGGAAUUUAGUCAAACCAAUAGUCUAAGCCAGAGAGACUCAGGGAUAUUGAAGAAUAUGUUUUCCUUUAGUCCAGCACUCAUUUGUUCAACAUUUGAACAAAUCUUAUUAUAAGGUAAGAAAGCAAGAUUAAAAUAUGAAGAUGUGAUACAGGUUCCUUCUUGCAGAUUUUUUUUUUAUUAACUUGAGUAUUUCUUAUUUACAUUUCGAGUGUUAUUCCCUUUCCCGGUUUCCAAGCCAAUAUCCCCUUCCCCCUCCCCCUCCCCUUCUUUAUGGGUGCUCCCCUUCCCAUCCUCCUCCCAUUGCCGCCCUCCCCCCAACAAUCAUGUUCACUGGGGGUUCAGUCUUAGCAGGACCCAGGGCUUCCCCUUACACUGGUGAUCUUACUAGGAUAUUCAAUGCUACCUAUGAGGUCAGAGUCCAGGGUUAGUCCAUGUAUAGUCUUUAGGUAGUGGCUUAGUCCCUGGAAGCUCUGGUUGCUUGGCAUUGUUGUUCAUAUGGGGUCUCGAGCCCCUUCAAGCUCUUCCAGUUCUUUCUCUGAUUCCUUCAACGGGGGUCCUGUUCUCAGUUCAGUGCUCUGCUGCUGGCAUUUCUUGCAGAUUUUUUAAUUUUAGGUUAUUUCCAUUCACAACUGGGGAGUGUUUGAUUGGACCCUACUCCUAUAAAGAGAGGUGGAUAUGGGGAUACAGGCAUAACCAGCAGUCCUACCCUAAUUCUGGAUCAGAAGUGUUUAAAAGUAAUAGACUUGUACUAUCAUGUCUAGCAUACGAGAAGGAGCUCUGACUGGAUUGGGAGUUUGAGUCUAAACUCUCUGGUAAUGAAGACAAGCAAGCAUGGAAAGUGGGGUAGGAUCUCUAGAGCUUUGGUUCACUUUGGGGUUUGGGAUUAGGAGGAACAUACCAGAAUUGGACCCAAGAGUCACCCUCUUGGGUAGCUAUUUUUUAUAGAUAGUAAAUGAAUCUCCUGGGUAAUUUCCACUGGCAUAAAGCCAGAUUUUCCACAUUCUCCUUAUGACCUAAUAGUGGUGCCUAUCCUAGCCCAGGCCUUGACCUUAAUGAUCAUGGGGUCACAUCUUUCAUAAUUAUAGGUUGAAGGGGUUUUUCCCUUCCUAUCUGGAUAUAGGGGUCUUUUUGUUCCAGGAAUAUUCUUUUUUACAACCCUGGGCAGCACAGUGAUAAUUACCAUUUCCUUGACAGGAGGAUGAGCCCUUUGCCAGGCAUGCAUAGUAUUAUGGCAAUAUUGCCACAACUUAUCCUCUUAGACCCCCUUUUUAUCCUAGCCCCACAAGAGGCAGGGUCAUAAGAGCACAAAGAUCCACCAGGAAAGUGGUUAGCCAUCCAAAGUCAAGUUGAAGAGAAUCUUUCCAAUUUCUCAGUUCCCAAAUUCAAAUGUCUGAACUAUGAAGGUUAUAAGGUGAGAAAAAAAGAAAUAUGAUACCCACAUUUAAGGGUUUCAAGUCAACCUUAUUGUGAGGUAGUUGGAGAUGCUGAUAGUGGUCCAUCCAUCAGUCAUUGUUCAACAUGGUCUCUUUCAUUAGGAAUAACGAAUCCAAGAGAUAACCAAAUACUUUGACAGUGGUUGUGUUGGUCACUAUAACUACAUAGUGUCUUCCAGAUAGGUUUCAAGGUUUGGGCAGGGAUUCUUUUUAUUCAAACAGGCUUUCAUGGUUGGAACUUGUGGGGAGGUUCAGAGGUAAUAAACGGCAGACUUUCCAUCAUGGUCCAGUUAAUGGCCUGGCGUGCUUCCUGCAAAGACUUGAGAAGGGAAUGAUUAGACAUUUCUUCCUGGGGAUAUCUUGGAAUUUGGGGAGGAUGGGAGGUGGUAUCCCAAACAUAAUUUUACGAGGAGUAAGCCCCUUCUAGUAAGGAGGAGUACAUUAAGCCAUGAGCAGGGCAAAGGGGAAGAGGUUGGCCUAAAUUUUUCUCACUUCCAAGACCAAUUUGGUCAAAGUGUCUUAAAAUUCUAUUCAUCCUUUCUCCUUAACCAGAGCUAUAGGGCCCAUAUGCACAAUGUAAUUCCCAAUUAACAUUUAAUACUUUUGCCAGAUCUUGAGGUACCUUGGCUGUAAGAGCUGGGCCUCUGUCUGGCAUAGCCAUAUCUGAUGGGUAUAGUGAAAGUCAUGAAACCAGCACAGCUAUUUGACAAAGAUCCAGCAAAGCUGAGUUGCACAUUGUUAUUGUGCCAUCUUUUGCUUUUUGGUUUGCAUACUUGGGGAGCAUUUAAUAUUUGUGUAACUCGGAUAUAUCAGAUUAAUGAAAAAUUUCAAUGAAUCUUUUAUGCUUUCUCCCAGGAGUACUGCCUAUAAGACUUCCCCAGGAAAGUCCUGAGAAUAAUAGUAUUGCAGCUAGUUUUGUUACCCUACCUUAUACUCCUGGGUGGGCCACACUAACCACCCAGGAGCUAUCUUGGAUCUACAAAUAAAAUACACACACACACACACACACACACACACACACACACACACACAGGCACUCUCAAGUGCACAGACCCCAAUUAAUUUUAAAAUACAACUAAACUAAAAGCAGAUUUAGAGGUUUUAAGCUAGGAGUAAGGGGAAGGGUUUAGAAGAGCUCAGCCACUGAGCCAGUAAGACAGGUUAAAAAUGAGCCAAUGUGUGUGUGUGUGUGUGUGUGUGUGUGUGUGUGUGUGUGUGUGUGUGUAUGUUUUGUCUGUUGAUCCAAAGAGAGCCUGGGUGGAUGACUGAAAAACUGUCCCCUCCCCGCCCUGCCCAGGAGCUCAAAGCAGUAAAACCAAAAACUCCAGCUACAUACUACCUCUCCCACUUUCAGAGAAAUCACCUUAUUUGACCCUGCUUAGAAAUCCUCCUUAUGCCCUGGAGGUUGUAACGCACAUUAAGAUGCCAGGGACCUCUUUAUGAGACUUUAGCUCUACAGUAUUCUUGAAACACCUGCCCCUGUACAUAUAUAGGAACAAGAUAAUCGGAUAAAAAUAAACUUAAAAGGGGCAUUAAGAUUUGGUGGGAUAAAAGAGUUGCUAGUAUAUCAGAUUACAAGCCUCCUCCUAUUAUAUACUUAAGCAAUUGCAUGGCAUGUGAGAUUAGGGACCACAUUUGGUAAGCCCCUUGAAGGAAGGAUACAGCAAGAAACUUAGAUAGGCUAGAGUUACCUCUGCCAUACACAGGGACUUUGAUUGAAAGGCAAAAAAUGGUGUGAAAAAAUGAUAAAAGAAUGAGGUAUAAGGGGGUUGGGGAUUUAGCUCAGUGGUAGAGCGCUUGCUAGGCCCUGGGUUCGGUCCCCAGCUCCGAAAAAAAAAGAAAAGAAAAAAAAAAAAAGAAUGAGGUAUCAGGACCUCUCUUUCUUAGAAAAGUUAGCUUCUGCAGGACCGUUGUGGUGUCAUAUAACUAAGGGGAAAAAGUAUCAGGAUUAAACAUAUAAAUAAAUUCUAUAAGAUAUAAAAUAUGAACUAUGCCAGAAAUUGAAUAAGAAUUGCAGCAGUUUGGGCCUGAAGCUUUUCCUUGGGCCUAUUGACAACUGGAAUUCUGAUCACUAAAAGUUAAUAAUACACUGCUCAGGACAUGGUGAUCUGCCUGGGCUGGCUUGGAGAUUUUCUUUCUGUUUAGCACCUCUGAAACUGCAAGAGCUGCCAGUCUGAGAUCGGGCUGUUAUUUAACAUAUAUCCUUGCUUGGCAAAAUAUGCCUCUGGAUUCUUAAAACUUGAGUUAUGUGGUUGAUGAGGGAAAGUGAUUGCAAAAGCUAGUUUUGGACCUUCAGAGAGGCGGACACGCCUGGGAAACCAGAAGAGACUGCACUCUGUGCACAUCCAGACGCCAGAGGAAAACACCAAACACCAUCUGGAACCCUGGUGCACGGAGGCUCCCGGAAAGAGCGGCACAGAUCUUCCCGGUUGCUGCCACAGCGGAGAGGACUUAGGCAGUACCCCACGAGCAAACUUGAGCCUUGGAACCGCAGGUAGGACCAACUUUUCCCCUGCAAGAAACCUGCCUGGUGAACUCAGGACACACAGAGGCAAAAUUCCUCUAGGACCGGGCACUUCCUGUGUUUACCGGAAGUCCCACACCCGCGGAUCCCGGCCCGCAGCAGCUCUCUGCUCCCAAACCCCGUGGGAGAGAGACCUCACCACCUGAUCAGGUGGGCACUCCUGAGGCUGCAGAGCGGAGGAGACCACCAACACUGCCCACCCCUGCCCACAUCCCUGGCCCAAGAGGCAACUGUAUAAGGCCUCUGGGUUCCCGUAGGGGAGGGCCCAGGAGCGGCAGGACCCCUGCGCCUGAGACACCGCCGGAACCUGAAGGAAACAGACCGGAUAAACAGUUCUGUGCACCCAAAUCCCGUGGGAGGGAGAGCUAAACCUUCAGAGAGGCAGACACGCCUGGGAAACCAGAAGAGACUGCACUCUGUGCACAUCCAGACGCCAGAGGAAAACACCAAACGUCAUCUGGAACCCUGGUGCACGGAGGCUCCCAGAAAGAGCGGCGCAGAUCUUCCCGGUUGCUGCUGCCUCGGAGAGGACUUAGGCAGUACCCCACGAGCAAACUUGAGCCUUGGAACCACAGGUAGGACCAACUUUUCCCCUGCAAGAAACCUGCCUGGUGAACUCAAGACACAGGCCCACAGGAACAGCUGAAGACCUGUAGAGAGGAAAAACUACACGCCCGAAAGCAGAACACUCUGUCCCCAUAACUGGCUGAAAGAAAACAGGAAAACAGGUCUACAGCACUCCUGACACACAGGCUUAUAGGACAGUCUAGCCACGGUCAGAAAUAGCAGAACAAAGUAACACUAGAGAUAAUCUGAUGGCGAGAGGCAAGCGCAGGAACCCAAGCAACAGAAACCAAGACUACAUGGCAUCAUCGGAGCCCAAUUCUCCCACCAAAAUAAACAUGGAAUAUCCAAACACACCAGAAAAGCAAGAUCUAGUUUCAAAAUCGUAUUUGAUCAUGAUGCUGGAGGGCUUCAAGAAAGACGUGGAGAACUCCCUUAGAGAACAAGUAGAAGCCUACAGAGAGGAAUCGCAAAAAUGCCUGAAAGAAUUCCAGGAAAACAUAAAUAAACAAGUAGAAACCCAUAGAGAGGAGACACAAAAAUCCCUGAAAGAAUUCCAGGAAAACACAAUCAAACAGUUGAAGGAAUUAAAAAUGGAAAUAGAAGCAAUCAAGAAAGAACACAUGGAAACAACCCUGGACAUAGAAAAUCAAAAGAAAAGACAAGGAGCUGUAGAUACAAGCUUCACCAACAGAAUACAAGAGAUGGAAGAGAGAAUCUCGGGAGCAGAAGAUUCCAUAGAAAUCAUUGACUCAACUGUCAAAGAUAAUGUAAAGCAGAAAAAGCUACUGGUCCAAAACAUACAGGAAAUCCAGGACUCAAUGAGAAGAUCAAACCUAAGGAUAAUAGGUAUGGAAAAGAGUGAAGACUCCCAGCUCAAAGGACCAGUAAAUAUCUUCAACAAAAUCAUAGAAGAAGUGUAACUUUGGGGCUGGGGAUUUAGCUCAGUGGUAGAGCGCUCACCUAGGAAGCACAAGGCCCUGGGUUCGGUCCCCAGCUCCGAAAAAAAGAACCAAAAAAAAAAAAAUCAUAGAAGAAAACUUCCCUAACCUAAAAAAGGAGAUACCCAUAGGCAUACAAGAAGCCUACAGAACUCCAAAUAGAUUGGACCAGAAAAGAAACACCUCCCGUCACAUAAUAGCCAAAACACCAAACGCACAAAAUAAAGAAAGAAUAUUAAAAGCCGUAAGGGAAAAAGGUCAAGUAACAUAUAAAGGCAGACCUAUCAG
This is a non-coding RNA of Rattus norvegicus (Norway rat), 22802 nucleotides long. NCBI's taxonomy places the organism in Eukaryota, Metazoa, Chordata, Mammalia, Rodentia, Muridae. The record is from RefSeq and is a predicted model, not a curated record.